RNAcentral lists this ribosomal RNA (324 nucleotides) under uncultured eukaryote. RNAcentral's name for it is "partial 18S ribosomal RNA". It matches the Rfam family "Eukaryotic small subunit ribosomal RNA", at positions 1470 to 1796 of the family's 1831-position model. The record is from RNAcentral.
CCCUUAGAUGUCCUGGGCAGCACGCGUGCUACAAUGAUGCAUUCAACGAGUCUUGCCUUAACCGAAAGGUUCGGGUAAACUUUUGAAAUUGCAUCUUGUUGGGGCUUGAUCAUUGUAAUUUUUGAUCACAAACAAGGAAUUCCUUGUAAAUGUGAGUCAUCAACUUGCAUUGAAUACGUCCCUGCCCUUUGUACACACCGCCCGUCGCUUCUACCGAUGAAUGAUCCGGUGAAUGUUUUGGAUCGGCUUCAAGUUGGUUCGCGCCUCUUGCUUGCUGUGAAAUCAUGUAAACCUUAUUGCUUAGAGGAAGGAGAAGUCGUAACA